GCUAUUUAUACUUUGAGUUACUCUUCAAAAGUGGUAUACCUCUAGUUUGGAGCUGUGCUGUAAAAACAAGAGUAACAUUCUUAUAUUAAAGUUAAAUAAAGUUACAACUUUGAAGAGAGUUUCUGCAAGACAUGACACAAAGCUGCUAGCAGAAAAUCAAAACACUGAUUAAAAGAAGCACGGUAUGAUGACCAAACAUAAAAAGUGUUUUAUAAUUGUUGGUGUUUUAAUAACAACUAAUAUUAUUACUCUGAUAGUUAAACUAACUCGAGAUUCUCAGAGUUUAUGCCCAUAUGAUUGGAUUGGUUUCCAAAACAAAUGCUAUUAUUUCUCUAAAGAAGAAGGAGAUUGGAAUUCAAGUAAAUACAACUGUUCCACUCAACAUGCCGACCUAACUAUAAUUGACAACAUAGAAGAAAUGGUAAGUAAUUUAAUAUACAUUCUUUGUGAAUUUCUUGAGUCGGAGCAUUAGAAAUAUUCAAACACCAUUAUAAUCUUGAAGUCUUUUCACUCAUGCCUAUCUAUGCAGAAAAUUGAAGAUGUUCAGAAUAUGCCAUGUGACAUAAAGGUGAAACACCUAGUGAUGCUUUGUUUGAAGAACAUAAGACUAACAUCAAGUAGUAGACUUAAUACCUAUCUUUAUAUUUUAAAGAGCGUACACAGAAGAGCUUGAUAAUGUUUGAAAACGUUUUAAGAGCCAGUACUCCACCAAGAAAGGAGAAUUGUCUGAGGAAGGAGGGGAUUCUGCAUUCUACUUCCUGAGAGAAACUUUGCUCUGACUUCUCCAUUUUGUUUUGCUGCCUGUCUCUGAGGUCCUGUGGCAGCUUCCAUUAGAACACUCUCUACCAGUAAUGCAAUAGAGAGGAAAAUCAAAAUUUCCUCCUAGACCGGAGUGUCAGUUUUCAGUGAGCAGAUACCAUGUCUUCUGUGAAAUUUUAUCCUUAGCAUUAUGCACAAAGCAGGUACAAAUGAAAAGUCUAACGGAUCCUUGUU
RNAcentral lists this small RNA (993 nucleotides) under Pan troglodytes (chimpanzee). RNAcentral describes it as "retained intron". The record is from RNAcentral. Lineage: Eukaryota; Metazoa; Chordata; Mammalia; Primates; Hominidae.